GUGUUUGGGCAGGAUGAGAUGAUCGACGUCAUCGGGGUGACCAAGGGCAAAGGCUACAAAGGGGUCACCAGUCGUUGGCACACCAAGAAGCUGCCCCGCAAGACCCACCGAGGCCUGCGCAAGGUGGCCUGUAUUGGGGCAUGGCAUCCUGCUCGUGUAGCCUUCUCUGUGGCACGCGCUGGGCAGAAAGGCUACCAUCACCGCACUGAGAUCAACAAGAAGCAGGAUCUUUAGUUUUAGCCCAGCCGCCUUACAGAAAGGAACCUGGAGGGCCAGCCAGCUUUUUGCUCUGACCUUGGGAUACGCUGUGACUGGGACUGAGGCCUCAGCUGCCUUCUAGCGUGCUUUGCAGGUCAGCACACUGGCAUGUCUGGGUUAUUUGUCCCUAAUGCCCCAGCCUUACACCCUUCUUGUUCAUUCAGAUUUAUAAGAUUGGCCAGGGCUACCUUAUCAAGGACGGCAAGCUGAUCAAGAACAAUGC
Molecule: long non-coding RNA, 481 nt
Filed under: Homo sapiens (human)
Lineage: Eukaryota; Metazoa; Chordata; Mammalia; Primates; Hominidae
Description: non-protein coding lnc-PDGFB-4:1
Source: RNAcentral